RNAcentral lists this ribosomal RNA (253 nucleotides) under uncultured bacterium. Its description in RNAcentral is "partial 16S ribosomal RNA". It matches the Rfam family "Bacterial small subunit ribosomal RNA", at positions 524 to 776 of the family's 1533-position model. The record is from RNAcentral.
UACAGAGGAGGCAAGCGUUGUUCGGAAUUACUGGGCGUAAAGGGCGCGUAGGCGGCCUUCUAAGUCGAACGUGAAAUCCCCGGGCUCAACCCGGGAACUGCGUCCGAUACUGGAAGGCUUGAAUCCGGGAGAGGGAUGCGGAAUUCCAGGUGUAGCGGUGAAAUGCGUAGAUAUCUGGAGGAACACCGGUGGCGAAGGCGGCAUCCUGGACCGGCAUUGACGCUGAGGCGCGAAAGCCAGGGGAGCAAACGGG